GUCGAACGGCAGCGGGUCCUUCGGGAUGCCGGCGAGUGGCGAACGGGUGAGUAAUGUAUCGGAACGUGCCCAGUAGCGGGGGAUAACUACGCGAAAGCGUGGCUAAUACCGCAUACGCCCUUAGGGGGAAAGGCGGGGAUCCUUCGGGACCUGUCACUAUUGGAGCGGCCGAUAUCGGAUUAGCUGGUUGGUGGGGUAAUGGCCUACCAAGGCGACGAUCCGUAGCUGGUUUGAGAGGACGACCAGCCACACUGGGACUGAGACACGGCCCAGACUCCUACGGGAGGCAGCAGUGGGGAAUUUUGGACAAUGGGGGCAACCCUGAUCCAGCCAUCCCGCGUGUGCGAUGAAGGCCUUCGGGUUGUAAAGCACUUUUGGCAGGGAAGAAAUUGCCUGGGUUAAUAGCCUGGGCCGAUGACGGUACCUGCAGAAUAAGCACCGGCUAACUACGUGCCAGCAGCCGCGGUAAUACGUAGGGUGCGAGCGUUAAUCGGAGUUACUGGGCGUAAAGCGUGCGCAGGCGGUUC
Molecule: ribosomal RNA, 527 nt
Filed under: uncultured Burkholderiales bacterium
Lineage: Bacteria; Pseudomonadati; Pseudomonadota; Betaproteobacteria; Burkholderiales
Description: bacterial SSU rRNA
Rfam family: Bacterial small subunit ribosomal RNA
Source: RNAcentral